This 253-nucleotide ribosomal RNA is filed under the name uncultured bacterium. RNAcentral's name for it is "partial 16S ribosomal RNA". It matches the Rfam family "Bacterial small subunit ribosomal RNA", at positions 524 to 776 of the family's 1533-position model. The record is from RNAcentral.
UACGUAGGGGCCUAGCGUUGUCCGGAAUUAUUGGGCGUAAAGAGCUCGUAGGCGGCUCGUUGCGUCGGCUGUGAAAACCCACAGCUUAACUGUGGGCCUGCAGCCGAUACGGUCGGACUUGAGGCCAGUAGGGGGAUGCGGAAUUCCGGGUGUAGUGGUGGAAUGCGUAGAGAUCCGGAGGAACACCAGCGGCGAAGGCGGCAUCCUGGACUGGUCCUGACGCUCAGGAGCGAAAGCGUGGGGAGCGAUCCGG